RNAcentral lists this ribosomal RNA (456 nucleotides) under uncultured bacterium. RNAcentral describes it as "bacterial SSU rRNA". It matches the Rfam family "Bacterial small subunit ribosomal RNA", at positions 340 to 786 of the family's 1533-position model. The record is from RNAcentral.
UACGGGAGGCAGCAGUGGGGAAUAUUGCACAAUGGGCGCAAGCCUGAUGCAGCCAUGCCGCGUGUAUGAAAAAGGCCUUCGGGUUGUAAAGUACUUUCAGUCGUGAGGAAGGUGUUAAGGUUAAUAACCUUAGCAAUUGACGUUAGCGACAGAAGAAGCACCGGCUAACUCCGUGCCAGCAGCCGCGGUAAUACGGAGGGUGCGAGCGUUAAUCGGAAUUACUGGGCGUAAAGGGCACGCAGGCGGUUAAUUAAGUUGGAUGUGAAAUCCCCGGGCUUAACCUGGGAAUGGCAUUCAAGACUGGUUAGCUAGAGUCUUGUAGAGGGGGUAGAAUUCCAUGUGUAGCGGUGAAAUGCGUAGAGAUGUGGAGGAAUACCGGUGGGCGAAGGCGGCCCCUGGGACAAAGGACUGACGCUCAUGUGCGAAAGCGUGGGGAGCAAACAGGGAUUAGAUACC